UCACACAAUCAGGCCAUACAUCUCAAACAGGAAUUGGGAGAUGGUCCACUCAUUUAAGUCUAGGUUUAUCCCCCUAUAGUCUAUGUCCACGGCGUUAAC
This is a long non-coding RNA of Sander lucioperca (pikeperch), 99 nucleotides long. RefSeq lists it as uncharacterized. Lineage: Eukaryota; Metazoa; Chordata; Actinopteri; Perciformes; Percidae. The transcript has 4 exons. The record is from RefSeq and is a predicted model, not a curated record.